UGGAGAGAAGCCCCCCUCAUCCCUCCCCAGUCCCCACGCCAUGUUCCUCCGUCUCCCGGCCGUCGCAUCUGGAGAGAAGAGAGCCGAGAUUCGCGGCACCAGCUCGCCGCACGCCGCUCCAGCUCGACCCUACCCGCAGUCGGGCCGCUCCUACACACGCUCCGCCAUCGUCGCCUCCCUCGGCGAUCUGUGCGCCGCGGUGUCGUCGUCCUCAGAUCCGCUCGCGGACAUGGCGCCGGAGCAUAGCAGCCCGUGGAAAGGGAGCGAGCACAGGCGGUCCUGCCGCGCCUCUCCUCAGCUUCACCUCCGGCCAUGCCCCUCCUCGCCUCCCCCACCCCCUCCAGUUCCCCACCAUGCAGUCCUCCCUGAGGCUACGGAUGGCGCUGGCGCCGGCGCCGGCGUCGGCAGGGGGUGACGGUAAGGAGCACCUCCUGGAGGUGCGGUGCACCGCAGUGUGCAGUCUCCUGGCCGUCUACCUUUCAGAUGCGACACACGGGUGAUGGUUGCGGCGGCGGCGGCGGGCAGCGGGUGCGGUCCGCGUAGGCGGCGGACGGAUGCACGGAAAUCACAUCUUUCUUCAACCUGCUCGUCUCCUCACAUCUAUGCGUGGAAAUCAGGAGCAGCGGAGGCAGGGUGGGCACCAAGCCGAAGAAAUACGGCACGCAGAUAGGCACACAUCAGUGGCAGGUCGGUUAGGUAUUUUGUAUACCCUUCCCCCUCCUUUUACCCUUUGUCCCAUGUUUAUGUUUAUGUGUAUGGAUUGCUUUACACAAUCCAUCUUGGUACACGAAAAGACAAUGCUUUCCUUUCAAUGCUUUUCAUGUUCUGCUUACCUAUAGCAAAUUUAGUUUAUCACAAUUCACUACCUGUGUGAAGACAGGUGCCCCUAAUAUCUUUGUUUCAUGAUUGUAGAGGCAAUGGUAAAACCUUUAAUCAGAUAUGUUUUCCAUGAAUCUUGUGUAAUCGUGUAACAAAAAUUUGUUAUUUAGAUAACCUUGUUUCUGUCUUACAAGAAUGGACUGACCAGACACAGAUUUUGAAUUAACUAUGGUCUUCAUGACUUCUGUGAAAAAAUCGAUCCUAAAUUUUUGCCGUUCAAUGAGUUAAAACCAACAAGCCUCACUAUCUUGUGAGUUUUUUUUAAUGAACUCCCCUUCUCUUGCAGGAAUGCACAGUUUAUGUUCACACAUACUGCGAAAUCUGAUGCAUGGCUCUCCAAUUAUGUCCAUAUGCAAACUUUAGUUGAGGUAAGCCCAACUUUCCCCUACAAGAAGUUUCCUUAUUGAUUCAACGUAGAAAUAAAUUUGGGUCAACAUAGCUGUAUUGUAGGUUUUUAGCAAAGAUAUCAUUGCCUUACUCCUUAACUGAUUAUUGAGCAAAUUUUAGAUAAAGUUAUGUACAAGUACCACAUCUCAGCGAUUAUAUGGUUAAGUUCAAUUUGGGAUGGUAGCAGUAAUCAACCUGCUGUGCUUUAUGUGAAUCGUAUUGAUGCCUGAAGCUCAUCUUUAUGUGAAUCGUAUUGAUGCCUGAAGCUCAUCUGUACUCAGUUCGUGCUCCUUGAAUUGUAUUCCUAUUUAUUUCAAUAGGCACGAUUCAUUUAGUAUAUUUUAUCACUUAAGUUUACCUAUGUCAGUUAUCGCUGCAACCUAUAUGUACAUUGAUACCUCAUAUUUUCUUUGAUUGAUUCUUACUAUUACUACUUCUUACUAGGUAGUACUAUUUUCCUUGGUGGAUCAUGAAGUCCUGGUAGCAAGUGGCAAUAGCUCAGUAGCUGUCAGUGGCUCAGUUGUAGCUCUUUCUGAUUCACAUAUUAAUUCUUGGUGGUUAUUAGUAACAACAUUUGAUAUAUAGUUCUGUUCAUGCUCUUAUUUUCGUUUAAGACAGGACUACCUAGAGUACUAUAUAUAUAUUUGUGCUGAUGCAUAUUUUUAUUUUGGUUGCAGAUUAUGGAUGAGAAGUUGGAUGCAAAGACGAAAACAUGAGUGUAAUAACUAGCUAUUCAAUGUGCUUCUUAACUUACCUGAGAUAUUUUUUUUUUGACAUGAUGUACCUUGAGAUAUUGGCUCUAAUAUAUACACUCUUUGAUUUUUGGGCUGUAAUUGUUGAUUUUAUUUAUGGGCUAAGUGGUGGGCUGAAUUUUAUA
Long non-coding RNA from Panicum virgatum (switchgrass), 2143 nucleotides. RefSeq lists it as uncharacterized. The transcript is spliced from 2 exons. NCBI's taxonomy places the organism in Eukaryota, Viridiplantae, Streptophyta, Magnoliopsida, Poales, Poaceae. The record is from RefSeq and is a predicted model, not a curated record.